AGCCCAUACCUGUUUAUCCAGUACGUCAGAUCAACCAACAUGAGCCCAUGUUCAGCACAGGAAUGCUGUUAUGUGUGUCUGUUUACGUGAUGAUAUGAAGAAGUCAUAAGAGAAAAGCAGGAUGGCUGUAGGAUGGUGUUUACUCUGCUCCUGUUGUCUGUCAUUGUGAAACAAAGUAUUUCAAACUCAAACACCAAUUUAAAGAUGUGAAGAAAGAAGAGGGAGUAAAAGAAGGAAUAAAAGAACGGAAGACUGUACUGCAUGAAAAUCCCAGGAGGGCAGCUGUUUCUGUGAUGCUGGAACCACCACAUCUGGCACCAUCCAUCUGGCACAGUCAAAGUCGCUUA
Molecule: long non-coding RNA, 347 nt
Organism: Anguilla rostrata (American eel)
Lineage: Eukaryota; Metazoa; Chordata; Actinopteri; Anguilliformes; Anguillidae
Exons: 2
Source: RefSeq, a predicted model, not a curated record